RNAcentral lists this ribosomal RNA (500 nucleotides) under uncultured bacterium. RNAcentral's name for it is "partial 16S ribosomal RNA". It matches the Rfam family "Bacterial small subunit ribosomal RNA", at positions 30 to 523 of the family's 1533-position model. The record is from RNAcentral.
AUUGAACGCUGGCGGCAUGCCUUACACAUGCAAGUCGAACGGCAGCACGGGAGCAAUCCUGGUGGCGAGUGGCGAACGGGUGAGUAAUAUAUCGGAACGUGCCCAGUCGUGGGGGAUAACGCAGCGAAAGCUGUGCUAAUACCGCAUACGAUCUAAGGAUGAAAGCGGGGGAUCGCAAGACCUCGCGCGAUUGGAGCGGCCGAUAUCAGAUUAGCUAGUUGGUGGGGUAAAGGCCCACCAAGGCGACGAUCUGUAGCUGGUCUGAGAGGACGACCAGCCACACUGGAACUGAGACACGGUGCAGCCUCCUACGGGAGGCAGCAGUGGGGAAUUUUGGACAAUGGGCGCAAGCCUGAUCCAGCAAUGCCGCGUGCAGGAUGAAGGCCUUCGGGUUGUAAACUGCUUUUGUACGGAACGAAACGGCCCUUUCUAAUACAGGGGGCUAAUGACGGUACCGUAAGAAUAAGCACCGGCUAACUACGUGCCAGCCGCCGCGGUAA